UACGUAGGGUGCAAGCAUUAAUCGGAAUUAUUGGGCGUAAAGGGCGCGUAGGCGGAUAGUCAAGUCGUGUGUGAAAUUUCGGGGCUCAACCUCGAAGCGGCACAGGAAACUCACUAUCUUGAGGGUAGACGGAGAGAACGGAAUUCCACAAGUAGCGGUGAAAUGCGUAGAUAUGUGGAAGAACACCGGUGGCGAAGGCGGUUCUCUAGUUUAUUCCUGACGCUGAGGCGCGAAAGCAAGGGGAGCAAACAGG
RNAcentral lists this ribosomal RNA (253 nucleotides) under uncultured bacterium. Its description in RNAcentral is "partial 16S ribosomal RNA". It matches the Rfam family "Bacterial small subunit ribosomal RNA", at positions 524 to 776 of the family's 1533-position model. The record is from RNAcentral.